RNAcentral lists this long non-coding RNA (199 nucleotides) under Vigna radiata. Its description in RNAcentral is "long non-coding RNA (VRAD_LNC001479)". The record is from RNAcentral. Lineage: Eukaryota; Viridiplantae; Streptophyta; Magnoliopsida; Fabales; Fabaceae.
GAAACCGUCCUCCAUUUCCAAAACAUAGAAAUCAGCAGGAAAUAUCAAUUCACCUACCCUGACCAAGACAUCUUCUAUAUAACCAGUCGGGUGAGUAACACUCCUAUUGGCCAACUGAAUGACCACACCCGUGGUUUGCAAAGGACCAAGAGACAGAGAUUUAUAAAUAGACAAUGGCAUGACAUUUAUAGAUGCACCC